UGGGGAAUAUUGCACAAUGGGCGCAAGCCUGAUGCAGCGACGCCGCGUGCGGGAUGACGGCCUUCGGGUUGUAAACCGCUUUUGACUGGGAGCAAGCCCUUCGGGGUGAGUGUACCUUUCGAAUAAGCACCGGCUAACUACGUGCCAGCAGCCGCGGUAAUACGUAGGGUGCAAGCGUUAUCCGGAAUUAUUGGGCGUAAAGGGCUCGUAGGCGGUUCGUCGCGUCCGGUGUGAAAGUCCAUCGCUUAAC
Molecule: ribosomal RNA, 250 nt
Filed under: uncultured bacterium
Lineage: Bacteria
Description: partial 16S ribosomal RNA
Rfam family: Bacterial small subunit ribosomal RNA
Source: RNAcentral